UGGGGGGAGCGUGGUGGAGUUCUUCAAUCUGUCGGUUCAUCUCCUGGAGCCUCCGAUCCAGAAAAUUCUCUCGACUACGGGUCUCGAGGGUUGUCUGGCAGAAUGGGGGUAGAGAUCUUCCAGGGGUGGAAUCGUGGUCCGACUGAGGGCUCUCCACCCUCGGAUUCAUCUUUUCGAGAAAGAUGGGGUGGCUGGCCCAAGUGGCCCACCCUACCGUCGGAUUCU
This 225-nucleotide long non-coding RNA is filed under the name Elaeis guineensis (African oil palm). RNAcentral's name for it is "long non-coding RNA (EGUI_LNC057931)". The record is from RNAcentral. Lineage: Eukaryota; Viridiplantae; Streptophyta; Magnoliopsida; Arecales; Arecaceae.